ACGGGUGAGUAACGCGUGGGUAACCUGCCCUGUACAGGGGGAGUAACAGCUGGAAACGGCUGCUAAUACCGCAUAAGCGCACGAGGAGACAUCUCCUUGUGUGAAAAACUCCGGUGAUACAGGAUGGGCCCGCGUCUGAUUAGCUGGUUGGCAGGGUAACGGCCUACCAAGGCAACGAUCAGUAGCCGGUCUGAGAGGAUGAACGGCCACAUUGGAACUGAGACACGGUCCAAACUCCUACGGGAGGCAGCAUG
This 254-nucleotide ribosomal RNA is filed under the name uncultured bacterium. RNAcentral describes it as "partial 16S ribosomal RNA". It matches the Rfam family "Bacterial small subunit ribosomal RNA", at positions 102 to 353 of the family's 1533-position model. The record is from RNAcentral.